Aedes albopictus (Asian tiger mosquito) is the source of this 4421-nucleotide long non-coding RNA. RefSeq lists it as uncharacterized. The transcript is spliced from 2 exons. Lineage: Eukaryota; Metazoa; Arthropoda; Insecta; Diptera; Culicidae. The record is from RefSeq and is a predicted model, not a curated record.
GCAUCAAAUUUUGAACUGUCUGGCAAAAUUCCACGAUCAGUUAUAUUAUGUCCUAAAUAGGUAACCUCUGCUCUAAAAAACUUACUUUUUUUACAUUGAGUAAGAUUGUAUUGUCUUAAUCUGUUGAAAACACGUACUAGGUUUGACAAAUGAUGUUGUAUCGAACAACCGAUGACAACAAUAUCAUCAAUGUACACAAAAGCACAUUCAGGGGACAAUCCAGCCAUAGCAAUGGUCAUCAUACGUUGAAAACUGUUUGGACUUAUAUUUAAUCCAUAAGGUAACCUCGUAAACUGAUAAUGACCAGACUGAGUGGAAAAAGCAGUAAAUUUUCUUGAUUCUUUAUCGAGAGGGAUUUGAUGGAAACCAGACAUCAAAUCCAGAGUUGAAAAAUACUUUGCCCUGCCAAGUUGAUCCAAAAUUGCAUCGAUCCUUGGCAAAGGGAAUUUAUCAGCCAUUACCUUCUUGUUGAGUUGCCUAAGGUCGACAACCGAACGCCAUUUUUUAUCUCCAUUACAGGAUUUUUUGGGUACAAGCAGUAUCGACGAAUUAUACGGGGAUACUGAAGGUUUAAUUAUUUUUUCAUUAAGCAUUUUACGAACUUGAGACUGAAUUUCUUCAUUAUUAUUUGGUUUGAUUGGCUUUUAUCGGUGUAUUUAAAUUACAAUUCACCGAUAAAAGCCAAUCAAACCAAAUAAUAAUAAAGGUCCACGGUGAUUAUCUUCAACCGAUGGAUGAAUUUCUUCAUGUUGAGAGUGUAUCGUCUUAUAAUUGGGGAUAUAACUGGGAAUUGGAUCAUUCAAUACUAUAUUUUGAGAGUAAAAAUUGUUUGUUGUUAAAUUUUCGUUUGGCAAACAGAAUAUAUCUGCAUAGUCUGUUAUGAGUUUGCUGAAUUCUCUUCUUGCAUACUCAGGCAAAUUGCAAAUAUCUACUUCCUUUAAAAUUUGCUGUACUCGUUCUGCUGAAUUUUUACUAUUGCUGUUAAAUUUCAUUAUGCAAUAUUCCUUUAAAGGUUCUAAAGUUGGUGUGAAUGUUGAGUUGGAAAUGUAAACUGGGUCAUUUGUUGUAUUUAUAAAUUUUACGUAUGGCAUAUCUGGAGAUAUGAUUGUAUUUCCACAAAAAAAUCCUGGUAGAAUUUCUUGAGAGUGUACCACCAUAUCUUCACAGAUUUGCAAAUUUGAAAUUUUUCUUAUCACUUCAAUCGGUUUGGCACAAUGAACCCAUUGUUAAUAUUGUCCGUUAUUGGAAUUGAUAUUUGCACCUUUCCUAAAUUGAAACUGAGUAACCAUGUCUCAUAAUCGAUAAUGCAUUUAUGAUUCGUUAAGAAAUCACGCCCUAAUAUUCCAUCAGUUGCUAUUGGGAAAUUACUAGGUACCAAGUGAAAAGUAUGCCUUACAGACAAACCUGGUUCAAAAUGCAAGUCGGUUAUUGUCGUUGCUAGUGUAUAAACCGUCCCGUUUGUUAUACCCGUUAAUCGAGUUUUAUUUGCUGUGUCAACAAUGUGCAUGGGAUUAAUUUUGUCAACUUUAAAAAGCGAUACAUCUGCUCCACAAUCAAUAAUAAAGGUACACUUGGUGUUCGCCAUUUGAACGCCAGCUGUGAUGAAAUUUGAGGCGCUCAAAUUAAUGGUCAGCAAAGUCAUUCGCUCAAUAUUCGUAUUGACAUCUGUAUGCGCUGGUCUAAAAAAUGUUGUUGCAUUUGUUGGGGUUGCUGGGUUUGCACGACAUGAGCAAACGUCGGAGAAGCUUGGGUUGGAUAAAUUAACUGGCUUGCAGCUUGGUUGGCUUGCGAUCCGGGUGCGUUGCCUUGUUGGGGUGUUAAAUUUCCAGCCAGUGGGUUUAUACUUGCAUAGUACACGCGACUAUAUCUGUUAGCGUUUUGGCUCUGAAAACGACCACGGCCAAAACCUCUAUUACGGAAAUUGUUAUUUCCACGAUAAUUGUUUUGGUUAUAAUCUCGAGCUGGGGGUCUGUCAUUGUAAUUUCUGAAAGAACGGAAUCGAUCAUAUGAAUUAUUACGAUUCGAAUGUCCUCCUCUCGAGAAAUUUCGUCUAAAAUUUCUCGGCGUGUUUUCGUAUCUACGAUUUUGAUGGCUGCCUGUUUGCAAAACUUGAGCCGUUGUGCUAGUAAUGUUAUCAUUCUCGAUCAUAAUGUUGCAUGCCUCUUUUAGCGUUUCGAAUUUUCCAAUUCGUAACAUCAUUUUUGUUUCAGUUGACGAUUACUGGUUUAUCAUUGCUUUAAUAGCCGCUUUGAGUGCGAGUUUUCUUGCGACAUCCGUAGGGAUUUGUUCACUUAUAUAUGCACGAGUCAAUUUCUCGCACAUUUUCUCUAUGUCAGCGGUGUAUUUUUGGGUUUCAUUUCUUUGCCAUUUAAUGUUCUGUAGAUUACUGAGUACUAAAUCAGCACUCGUUCUAUCCACACAGUUGUCUGUAAUUUUGGUUACAAUUGUAGUCAAAUCAGCGGGUACAUCCGUGAACAAUUCUCUCGCUUUGCCCGUCAGUUUGGUCAAUGCUAACUGAAUUGUUCCGGGUUUCUGUUGUUCGGUAACAACACUAUUCAAAAAUGUUAUCGCAUCCGUGAAGGAUUUUGCUCCCUCCGGGCUGCCAUCAUAAACCGGAAUUAAUUCCGCUAUCUUAGAUGCAGUUGCGAUAUCAAGUGCCAUCUUGUUUAAACGGUUCUUUGCUAUUAUUGUAUUAACUGCGUUUUUAAAUUUAAAUAUGUAAAAACUUCCCGAAUCCAGUUUUUGUUAAUUAUUGCUAAAGCACUUUGGUAUGCAUCUUUCGCAAGCUGUAUCAAACAAUCAUGUUGCAAGUUUGAAAUACUUGUGUCGGCUAAAAUUAAUUUUUGGAUAUGAAUGUAAAGAGUUUGUAUUUUUGAUCUUUUUGCAACUAGCGUUUCUGGUUUAUAAACCUUGUUUACAGAUUUUUUAAAAUUUGUAGCAAUCCAAUUCAGUUCAUCAAUCUUUUCUUCUAUUACUUUAAUCAUCACUUUGUCGCAAUAACAUUUUCAAGUUUUAAAAUUAACAAAAUUCAUUUAGGAAAAAUAGUACUUUAACACAUGAUAAGAAUGACUGUUUUAAGAAAUACACAAAAAAAAAAUGUAAAAUGAUCAGCUAGUACCUUGAGAUGUCCGGGGCCAUUUGGACUGCUUGUCGUUUCAGCUCGUUUCUGGUCCGCUUGCUCUGUACUCAUGCACACUUUUUUUUUAACACUGUUUACCUCUUAACGGCGGGUAGAUGCCUUAUAGUUUUUGAGAACCACUUUCAUUUUAGUUUAAAUAAUUAUUGUCUCGCCCGCACAACCCUGGUCUAACUGUUUCCAGAGAAGCCUGUUUUUUUGCGAUUAUUGUCCACCAGUAUGUAAUAAAAAUGAACUGGGUAAAUAUCGUUGUUACUGCGACGAUUGCACACUUCAGAGUGUUCAUUUUUGUCCACUUUUCAUCAUCGUCACUAUUUCAACUGCUUCUUCACAAAAGCUUGUUUUUCACUGUUUUCUAACACAAAAUACCACUUUAAUUUUUUUUACUGAUCACUAAUGUCGUUCUUCAGAUUGCAGGACCGACUAAGUCUGGUCGCCAUGAAAUAUUAAGGAUUUUCUUUAAAUCCAAAAACCCGACUCGUUUUGUUGAAUGCUGGAAUCAAUCUGUUUAUUCAAAAAAAAAAAAAAACUUUUCAUUACAAUUCGACUUAAAAUCUACACGAAGUCUUAACUCUACACAACAUUAAUUCUAGGGGAGGAGCUUGGAUUUACUUCAGGAUUGGCAAUAGCCAAUCCUCAUAGAACAAGCUAACUUGGGUUCGGUAUACGAACCACCAAUACAUGUGACAUGUGUCUUUACUACGAUUUUGAUGAUUCUCCAUAACACAAUGUAGGUCAGGCAUAUACCAACUGCCUACAGUGCAAUGGACUGUAAUCUGAGCCUUUGUUUUGAAUUGUUCGAAAAGCGUUUCGGUGUUAUGGUUUGGAAGUAAAGCGUAUUUAAGCAAACAAGUGCAAUCAAUAAAUUUGAAUGAGGUUGACUAUGAAAUUUGGAUGAGCAUGCACUUGCGUGUUUCGACAGUCACAAGUGUCUGUUUCCUUGAUAGAAGGGAACUAAAACUUGAACUGUUAAUGAUGUUAUGAGAAAGAUGAGUUUCUUAUCGCGGAUACAUGUCUCAUGUAGAAAGGAUAUUUUUUUAAGAAAUAUGAUAUUGGAAUGCUACACUAGCAUUUAUAAUGCUAACUAUUUGUUCAUGCGACAUUUGUGGUUGAGCACUAUUCUGUUCUUUGGUACUUUCAUUACCCAUUUUGAAUCACUUAUGGGGUUUUCACUUUGCACAGGAGAGUCUUCGCUUUUCAACUUAUUUUCCGAUCACACUAGUCACUUAGAAGUUUUCGAACUUCUAGCACUGUCACGGUCGCCAUGUGGCAUAGGUACCGGACU